CCCGUGACCACCCCUCUCCUUCCAUCGCCCCCUUAUGUUUUCUUCUCCUGCCUACCGUUGAAUGAGCAGGGUUAGACUCGAAAAGUCACAACUAAUCUCUGCGAAGAUGUGUGUGACGUGUGUGUCUUGCUGAGGGGCUGCGGACGGGAGCGGAUCGGUGUCAGGCAUCGCGGGGAUUUAAUCAAUGCAGGAAGACCACAGGAAAUGACAAUCACGACAAGAAACGACCGGGGGCAGCAGCAAGCCAGCAAGACCGCAUCUUCUUCCCAGUUCUAGGAGCCCUGAGAAAGCGAGGAUCUUCCCCCCCUAAAACAUACAUACAUGCAAGAUAUUUGCAAUCAAGCUGCCACCAUUUGGUAAAAAUCUCUAUACCAUGCAUAAUCUAAAAGGAUCAGGAGCUGGAUCCUCGAAUCAUCUUGUCACUUUCUACUGAAAUGGGAUUUUUUUUUUCCUCCUUACACUGCGCUGGAAAUUGCCGAUGGCUUUACAUCUUUAUAGAGUCUAAAGAGUCUUUCGUGAGACUGAAGGAUUUACAAUGCAAAUAGAGGCUUGUGAAGGGAUGGAUGCUUUUCAGUCUUAUCACAGCUUGAUGCACCUUAAUAGCUGGGUUUAUUUUCUGAUAUUAACAGAUGAAUUGUUGGCUAUCGCUGCCGGAAAUUACUGGCUGAAAGAAAAAGUUCGGAAUAAACUUUGAAGGCAACAGAUCUCUUUUGGAUGUUAUUAGCUGCACGCGCACACACAUAUCAGGUCACAAUUGCAUAAAAGGAUGACUAUU
Long non-coding RNA from Aquila chrysaetos chrysaetos, 775 nucleotides. RefSeq lists it as uncharacterized. Lineage: Eukaryota; Metazoa; Chordata; Aves; Accipitriformes; Accipitridae. The transcript has 3 exons. The record is from RefSeq and is a predicted model, not a curated record.